CCUGCCUGUAAGCGGGGAAUAACCGUGAAAGACGGACUAAUACGCAUAAUACUAAAUUACUGCAUGGUAAUUUAUUUAAACAUUUAUGGCUUACAGAUGGGCAUGCGCAUGAUUAGCUAGUUGGAGAGGUAACGGCUCCCCAAGGCAACGAUCAUUAGGGGUUCUGAGAGGAAGGUCCCCCACACUGGUACUGAGACACGGACCAGACUCCUACGGGAGGCAGCAGUGAGGAAUAUUGGUCAAUGGACGAGAGUCUGAACCAGCCAAGUCGCGUGCAGGAAGAAUGUCCCUAUGGAUUGUAAACUGCUUUUGCAGGGGAAUAAAGUGCAUCACGUGUGAUGUUUUGUAUGUACUCUGCGAAUAAGGAUCGGCUAACUCCGUGCCAGCCGCCGC
Molecule: ribosomal RNA, 393 nt
Filed under: uncultured bacterium
Lineage: Bacteria
Description: bacterial SSU rRNA
Rfam family: Bacterial small subunit ribosomal RNA
Source: RNAcentral